This 483-nucleotide ribosomal RNA is filed under the name uncultured bacterium. RNAcentral's name for it is "bacterial SSU rRNA". It matches the Rfam family "Bacterial small subunit ribosomal RNA", at positions 29 to 509 of the family's 1533-position model. The record is from RNAcentral.
AUUGAACGCUGGCGGCAUGCUUUACACAUGCAAGUCGAACGGCAGCACGGGGGCAACCCUGGUGGCGAGUGGCGAACGGGUGAGUAAUACAUCGGAACGUACCCAGUGGUGGGGGAUAACCUACCGAAAGGUAGGCUAAUACCGCAUAAGCUCGAGAGAGGAAAGCGGGGGACCGCAAGGCCUCGCGCGACUGGAGCGGCCGAUGUCCGAUUAGCUAGUUGGUGGGGUAAAGGCUUACCAAGGCGACGAUCGGUAGCUGGUCUGAGAGGAUGAUCAGCCACACUGGGACUGAGACACGGCCCAGACUCCUACGGGAGGCAGCAGUGGGGAAUUUUGGACAAUGGGGGCAACCCUGAUCCAGCCAUGCCGCGUGAGUGAAGAAGGCCUGGUUGUAAGACUCUUCGUGGGUACGAAACGGGUGCGGUGAAGUAGCCGCGCUCACUGACGGUACGUCACAGAAGAAGCACCGGCUAACUACGUGCC